This 229-nucleotide ribosomal RNA is filed under the name uncultured bacterium. Its description in RNAcentral is "partial 16S ribosomal RNA". It matches the Rfam family "Bacterial small subunit ribosomal RNA", at positions 524 to 752 of the family's 1533-position model. The record is from RNAcentral.
UACGGAGGGUGCAAGCGUUGUCCGGAUUUAUUGGGUUUAAAGGGUGCGCAGGUGGUUUAUUAAGUCAGUGGUGAAAGACGGUCGCUCAACGAUUGCAGUGCCAUUGAAACUGGUAGACUUGAGUAAAGUAGAGGUGGGCGGAAUUGAUAGUGUAGCGGUGAAAUGCAUAGAUAUUAUCAAGAACUCCAAUUGCGUAGGCAGCUCACUUGGCUUUUACUGACACUCAUGC